AAAUAUAAUUCAUGUUUUAGAGUGUCACUUGUAAAUCUGAUGUAGUAGGAUUCUUUUGCCAUUUUACUUGUGCUAAAUCAUAUAAACUAAGAAAUAGUUUGAUUUUUGGUUCUGGGACAAUGUCAUAAAUUUGGUAUUAGCCAAAGUGCUAGUCUUGGGGAAAAAAUGAGGUAGUAGUAAAAUCAGGAAGCUAAUCUUUAAUAGGCACUUAAUCCAUAAAUAGCUGACUUCCCUUGGAUGUUUAAUCCUGGUCGACUGUUUCUGGUAUUGAUUAUUUUCCCUGGGUUGUAAUGUUUGUAAUGAAAAGUUUUAUUCUUUGGAGAUUCGAAAAAUUGCUUUUCAUGAGUCCUUUAUCUUCCAGGCUCUAAAUUAUCUUGGUAUUCAGCCCACAAAGGAACAACACCAAGCCCUGAGACAGCAAGUACAAGCAGACUCAAAAGGGACAGUGUCUUUUGGAGAUUUUGUCCAGGUUGCCAGAAACUUGUUUUGCUUGCAGUUGGAUGAAGUAAAUGUUGGUGCACAUGAAAUUUCCAAUAUAUUAGAUUCACAGCUUCUUCCUUGUGAUUCUUCAGAAGCAGAUGAAAUGGAAAGACUCAAGCGUGAAAGAGAUGAUGCCUUGAAAGAAGUAAAUACACUUAAGGUAACCUCUAAUUUAGUUUCCUUAUGUUUUCUUCAGAAAAAAAAGAAAAA
Molecule: small RNA, 690 nt
Filed under: Pongo abelii (Sumatran orangutan)
Lineage: Eukaryota; Metazoa; Chordata; Mammalia; Primates; Hominidae
Description: retained intron
Source: RNAcentral